UCCAGGGCGCCAUUUUAGAACAUGGAUGUAAGCAAACCUCGUGUUUCGAUAUACACUGUGAUGCUUGAUUACGAUAAGCUUACCUCGUGUAUCGAUACAUUGUUCUCAUUCACCUCCACCACGGAAAUCCCGGUCGAAAUUCCUCUGAGCCAUCCACAACGCGGAAGUCAACAGUAUUUGGAAAGGCGACUGGCAGCAAGUGCGGAUGCCAGAAUAUCUGGAUGAAUAAAUGGGUCAGUCAUCUGCACAGCAUCAAUGGAUCAAGAGAAGCAAUGAGGAACAAGAGAAGAGUAGCAGUGAGUGAAACUGAAGUCCAGCUUGAGAUACCCGGAUGAGUACUCCAGGUUGACAGUCUGGAAGGACCCCUCCAGAUUUCAGAAGUUAUUGGCAGACAGCGAUGAGGAGAGUCCAGUUAUUUCAAUGGGGGCCUACCGAAAAGUUGUAUGCCAAGUGACACUGGGACACACUCACAAAGGCUGGUCUGGCUAAUGUGAGAAGAUCAACCAAUGCCAAGUCAGAGUGGGACCCUUCAAGGACGUUGAAGAAAUUGUUGUCUUUGGCCAUGUGGUAAUCAAUUGAAAGGAAUGAUGUUUGGGACUACUUGUCUAUAAAUGUGGACCCAAACACCAAAUAGAAUGUUCACAAUUCUACUAACACAA
Haliotis rufescens (red abalone) is the source of this 659-nucleotide long non-coding RNA. RefSeq lists it as uncharacterized. Lineage: Eukaryota; Metazoa; Mollusca; Gastropoda; Lepetellida; Haliotidae. The transcript has 3 exons. The record is from RefSeq and is a predicted model, not a curated record.